AUCUUCCGCAAUGGACGAAAGUCUGACGGAGCAACGCCGCGUGAGUGAUGAAGGUUUUCGGANCGUAAAACUCUGUUGUUAGGGANNCCNNNGNACCGUUCGAAUAGGGCGGUACCUUGACGGUACCUAANNNGNANGCCACGGCUAACUACGUGCCAGCAGCCGCGGUAAUACGUAGGCGGCAAGCGUUGUCCGGAAUUAUUGGGCGUAAAGCGCGCGCAGGCGGUUUCUUAAGUCUGAUGUGAAAGCCCCCGGCUCAACCGGGGAGGGUCAUUGGAAACUGGGGAACUUGAGUGCAGAAGAGGAGAGUGGAAUUCCACGUGUAGCGGUGAAAUGCGUAGAGAUGUGGAGGAACACCAGUGGCGAAGGCGACUCUCUGGUCUGUAACUGACGCUGAGGCGCGAAAGCGUGGGGAGCGAACAGG
This 424-nucleotide ribosomal RNA is filed under the name uncultured bacterium. RNAcentral's name for it is "partial 16S ribosomal RNA". It matches the Rfam family "Bacterial small subunit ribosomal RNA", at positions 361 to 776 of the family's 1533-position model. The record is from RNAcentral.